UACGUAGGGUGCGAGCGUUGUCCGGAUUUAUUGGGCGUAAAGAGCUCGUAGGCGGCUUGUUGCGUCGACUGUGAAAACCCGCGGCUCAACCGUGUGGUCUGCAGUCGAUACGGGCAGGCUGGAGUUCGGUAGGGGAGACUGGAAUUCCUGGUGUAGCGGUGAAAUGCGCAGAUAUCAGGAGGAACACCGGUGGCGAAGGCGGCUUCCUGGACCGACACUGACGCUGAGGCGCGAAAGCUAGGGGAGCAAACGGG
RNAcentral lists this ribosomal RNA (254 nucleotides) under uncultured bacterium. Its description in RNAcentral is "partial 16S ribosomal RNA". It matches the Rfam family "Bacterial small subunit ribosomal RNA", at positions 524 to 776 of the family's 1533-position model. The record is from RNAcentral.